UGUUAUUAAAAAAAAAAAAAAGAAAAGUAAUCAUGUCCGAAAAUUUAUUUGAGUAUUUAUUCUAGCUGGCCUAAGUUAUGGCAAUUUAUUUAUAUUUGUUGAAAACCUCAUUCAUCACAUAUGUAUCCAUAGUAAUUUCUACAAUUUCCGCUGUACAGCGGUCAUAGACUCGUAGACUCGUAGACUCGUAGUAUCACAGGAUGUCUUAGUUAUGGCCAUGGAAGCUGAAUCCUUGCUGACCAACUCAUCACAAGGAAACCAAUAUUUCCAGAAAAGAUCUAAAUUCGCCGUAAAAAGGAUACUUCAAGAACUUCUUGUGCAGUGAAAAUAAUAAGUGAAAAAUUUGAAUAAAGUGUACGGAGGCCUCCUCACUUCAAUACACCAGGUAUUUACGAAAAACCAAUAUUAAAUUAUGGAAAAUUCACAGGCAACUACUUCGCAAAAAAAUGGGACAGGAUAAUAAAUAAAUUUGUAAUUACUUGAUUUAAAUUUUGUUUAUUUUUUGGAAAUUCUAUUUAUUUGAUCUAUUAUGUAUAUUAAAUUGCAAACAUGAUUACAA
Long non-coding RNA from Nilaparvata lugens (brown planthopper), 559 nucleotides. RefSeq lists it as uncharacterized. NCBI's taxonomy places the organism in Eukaryota, Metazoa, Arthropoda, Insecta, Hemiptera, Delphacidae. The transcript is spliced from 2 exons. The record is from RefSeq and is a predicted model, not a curated record.